Molecule: ribosomal RNA, 1468 nt
Filed under: metagenome
Description: bacterial SSU rRNA
Rfam family: Bacterial small subunit ribosomal RNA
Source: RNAcentral
GCUUAAUACAUGCAAGUCGUGCGGUAGAGAUCUUCGGAUCUUGAGAGCGGCGAACGGGUGAGUAACACGUAAAUAACCUGCCCCUAAAUCUGGGACAACUGAUCUAACGGUCACUAAUACCGGAUGUGGCUAUAAGGACUCAUGUUCUAAUAGUUAAAGAAGACCUCUUCAUGAAAGUUUUUGUUUAGGGAUGGAUUUGCGGACUAUUAGCUUGUUGGUGAGGUAACGGCUCACCAAGGCGAUGAUAGUUAGCCGACCUGAGAGGGUGAUCGGCCACAUUGGGACUGAGACACGGCCCAGACUCCUACGGGAGGCAGCAGUAGGGAAUAUUGCACAAUGGACGAAAGUCUGAUGCAGCAACUCCGCGUGAUGGAUGAAGGUCUUCGGAUUGUAAACAUCUUUUAUAGGGGAAAUGAUUAUCGUGCUAAUCAGCGAUAAAGUGACGGUACCUUAUGAAUAAGCCACGGCUAAGUACGUGCCAGCAGCCGCGGUAAUACGUAUGUGGCGAGCGUUACUCGGAAUCACUGGGCGUAAAGAGUACGUAGGCGGAUAUAUAAGUCAGGAGUGAAAUUUUGGGGCUCAACCUCGAAACUGCUUUUGAAACUGUGUAUCUUGAGUAUGUGAGGGGUUGAUGGAAUUUCUGGUGUAGCGGUGGAAUGCGUAGAUAUCAGGAAGAACACCGAUGGCGAAGGCAGUCAUCUGGCACAAUACUGACGCUGAGGUACGAAAGCGUGGGGAGCAAACAGGAUUAGAUACCCUGGUAGUCCACGCCGUAAACGAUGGACACUAGCUGUCGGAAGGCUUGACUUUUCGGUGGCGCAGCUAACGCUUUAAGUGUCCCGCCUGGGUAGUACGUCCGCAAGGAUGAAACCCAAAGGAAUUGACGGGGGCCCGCACAAGCGGUGGAGCAUGUGCUUUAAUUCGAUGCAACGCGAAGAACCUUACCUGGUCUUGACAUACCUUUGACCCCUGCAGAGAUGUGGGUUUAUCUUCGGAUACAGAGGAUACAGGUGCUGCAUGGUUGUCGUCAGCUCGUGUCGUGAGAUGUUGGGUUAAGUCCCGCAACGAGCGCAACCCUCGUCCUUAGUUGCCAUCAUUAAGUUGGGAACUCUAAGGAGACUGCCGUCGCAAGGCGGAGGAAGGUGAGGAUGACGUCAAAUCAUCAUGGCCCUUACGACCAGGGCUAGACACGUGCUACAAUGGGCGGUACAAAGGGUUGCUACACAGUGAUGUGAUGCCAAUCUCAAAAAACCGUUCUCAGUUCGGAUUGUAGUCUGCAACUCGACUACAUGAAGUUGGAAUCGCUAGUAAUCGCGGGUCAGCAUACCGCGGUGAAUACGUUCCCGGGCCUUGUACACACCGCCCGUCAAGCCACGAAAGAUGGUUGUGCCCAAUAUCGUAUCCUUAACCUUCGGGAUGGGAGCGACUAAGGCAAAGCUGUUAAUUGGGGCUAAGUCGCAACAAGGUA